Molecule: ribosomal RNA, 331 nt
Filed under: uncultured eukaryote
Lineage: Eukaryota
Description: partial 18S ribosomal RNA
Rfam family: Eukaryotic small subunit ribosomal RNA
Source: RNAcentral
CCCUUAGAUGUUCCGGGCCGCACACGCGCUACACUGGCAGGUUCAUCGAGCUUCAUGCCCUGAUCUGAGAAGAACGGGAAAUCUUUGAACACCUGCCGUGCUUGGGAUAGAUGUUUGCAAUUAUUCAUCUUCAACGAGGAUUGCCUUGUAAGCGCACGUCAUCAGCGUGCAUUGAAUACGACCCUGUAUUCUGUACACACCGCCCGUCGCUCCUACCGAUUGAAGUUUUCGGUGAAUUUACUGGAGAUCCCUUUUGAAGGUGGUUCGCCACUGGAAGAAGUAUUCAAAAGUAAAUGAAUCGAAUGCUUUAGAGGAAGGAGAAGUCGUAACA